Non-coding RNA from Chrysemys picta bellii (western painted turtle), 5004 nucleotides. NCBI's taxonomy places the organism in Eukaryota, Metazoa, Chordata, Testudines, Emydidae. The record is from RefSeq and is a predicted model, not a curated record.
ACAUGAUGGCAUAUAUCACAUUGGUAGAUGUGCAGGUGAACGAGCCCCUGAUGGUCACACAGCCACUCUUCCCACCCUUUGCAUCGAGGGGAGUGUGUUGUUUUUGUUUUUAACAUACGGCCCUGAUAGGGUUUAUUUUAAUUAUUUGUAUUAGUUAAACAUAUCUGUUGCUACGUGUCCUGUUAGAGAAGGCAGGUCAAUGAAACACACCUUGCGACUGAAGCAGAAAAAUGGUCCUUGAUUCCAGGAGGAGUUCGUUGCGCGGUCUCGGACCACGCCUGGAGAGGGUUCUGUCCCGGCCCAGAUCAGCUUUACUCUGAGUUUAGCCAAGUAAACGCUGCGGAGUGGUGCAAUUCUAGCAGCCCAGGCCGGUAUUCGGGACCAUUUCCCUUCAGCAGCAGAAACCCUGAGUGCGUCAGAAGGCAGAGAAGGGACUUGGGUCUGGCACUUUAUGGCCCCAAAUCUUGUCCUCCCCACCUCCGGGCCACACCGUGCCUGCUGGUAGAAGGCAGUGGAGCUGGGGACGGGGGGUUCUGCUGUGCAGCUCACAGAGACUCUGUCUCGGAGGCCAAGCCUGGCCUCUCUGCAGCACAAGGAGCCCAUCUGCCCAGGCAUGUUGGGUGCCUCUUGCAGGGUGGGAAUCUAGCUCGUGGAUCGGGAUGGGAACGGGGCUCUUGCCAGUGUAGGUGGAGCAGCGGCUGGAGCCCAAAGCCCAUUUACUCCAGUUUUGCACCAGGAAGGCAGCCAGGGAGGAGGGAGUGGAAACGUGAGGGCUAAUAGUACAGCCAGGGCUCAGCUAGUGGGGCGAUGGGCCUCAGGCGAGGUCGGUCAGAGAUAGAAAGCAGCAGGCGGAUUUGUCACCGGAACGUUCCGUAGGAGGCCAAAUCUAGCCCUCCCUGGCAUGGAUGGUCAAGGCCCACAAGGCCUGAGGAGCUGCUGUUUCUGGUGCGGGGGCAGAACAACGCUGGGUGGGGAAGUUUUAGUGGAGGGACGUCACGUGGGAUCGGACAGCUGCUGCCCCCAGAUGUUCACCCACGUGAACAGCAGACGCACACGCCGUGGCUAGCGGCUCAGAUCACCCGCCCUCUGAGGAGGAGGGGGAGCUCCCCUGUGGCACCAGCCCCUCCAAGCGGUUUAACCUGAUGCGUUGAGCAGCGCCAAGGUGUAGACUCAGUGUAGACAAAACCCUGCUUUGAACCUGCCUUCUUCCCUCGGGGACAGGGUCUGGCAGCGCUGCCUGCACCUUGGCACCAGAGCACGAGGCGAUGUCUGGCUGUGGAGGGGCCCACGUGCCAGCUGCCAUCUCCGAGCAGCAGUUUCUCCUCCAACCCUCCACUAAUCUCCCUAGAUGCCCCUUGUCCCCCAAGAUUCUCCUUCCCAGGCUCUAUCCCCAAAUCCCUCUUCCAGACUCAGACUCACAGCCUGACUUCCCCGCUGCCCCUGACCCCUCCGGUAUCCUGGUCACCACAGGCUCCCCCGGCUGCCUCCCCUGACUCCAAAGUCUUCCUUGCUGUGGAAGGGGAGAGUCCAUGGGAAUCCGGUCACCCCUGCUGCUGUUUGGGGCACCCUGAGGUGGCUAUUUCUGAAGCAUCCCAUGUGGAGCUGGAUGAACUUGAGCAGCAAGUGGUUUUUGUUUUUUGAGGGGCGAGGGGAAUGUGCAGGUCUGGGGGAGAAACGGGAGAUUGUUUAUUGUCCAAGCAAGUGGGUGAGAUUUCUGGGGUCCUUGGCAAAGGGCCAAGGUGCAGCCCUUGGCAUCCCAAUUUUGGACACCCCUUGCGGUAAAGGGGGAAGUUAAGGCCCAGAUGAGAACUCAGAGUGAAACUCUAAUAGAGAGAGGAAAGGAGAGAGUGUGUGAGCGGGUGCACCACUGCUGUCGAUUGGAAAGAAUCAGAAUGGCUCAGCUGUGUGUCAUAAGCUCCAUACUGCAAACAGCGAAUGGGGAAUCUCCUUUAGCCCAAGGGGCGGGAACCUGUGCUUGUGGAGCAGGCAGUUCUGAGUUUUAUCCCUGCUUGCCCCGUGAAGCUCUGAGUGCAGACGAUGUGCGGCAGAGUGGCAGCUGCGAAGUCCUGAACUGAGCAUGGGUUUGUUAAAACCGUUACAGUCGCUCAUUCUUCCGAAAAAUUCCUUUCAUUUGUGGCACUUCCCCGGCUGGAGUGAGCCAGUGGUGACCCCUUGGGUCCCCCCUCAACUUGCCUCAAGGGGAGAGCAGAAGGAGUGGGAAGCAAUGAGAUGCAGAAGCAGCAUUUUGCUUUUUUCCUCAGGGAGAACCCCCUUACUCAGAUAUUCUGUAAGACGUGCCGGCCUCUCCUCUGAUGGCUGCAUGUUGGGUGAAGCGUCACACUCCAUUAGUAACUGUCUGGGACUGUCAGCUCAGGAGUGGAGCUGAAAGUUUGAGAAAACGGGAGCAUCGUGACCUGACACAGGUACAGCAUUUAGCUGGGGGGCACGAGGGUUGUUUUAUUAGUGAGGCUUCCUGUCCCGAAGUGGGAACAACUGGUGUAAAUAACGUACGUACUUAGAAUAACUUAGAAAAAUCUGAACGACUGCCUCCCUAUAAUCCCUGGAAAUACAUACAAAGUGCUCGGUCUAGAGGACAGGAAAGGCUGGGUGGUGAGACUGCAUUGUUGAAGCAGGUUGCACUCAACGGGAAUAACUCUAGUAGGAGCCUCUCCCAUUAGAGCGGGUCGAAGGCUGUUCUUGGGAAAAUGGGGUUUUGUUAAAAUUUUUCAAGAAAAGGUUGUGUGAAAAAAAAUUUUUUUGUUUAAAUUACAAAACAAAAAACAGAAAAAACGCCAGUUUUUCCUUUCAAAGCUGCGAGAAAAUGCCCCCUUUUUGGCUACCCCUCCUUUUCCCACUACAAAAUUAAGGGGGGGAAGUUAAAAAGUGAGAGAAAAUAACACCUUCGCACCUCAAAACUUGUAUUUUCUUUCCGCUUUUGGACAUCCCGCCUCUUUAGGUGAGAGAAAAUAACAAAAUAACACUGACUUUUUUCCUCCAGGAGGGGGAGCAAAAACGGGGUGUUUUUUUUUUUCCUUACCUAAAUGAACCAAAACACUUCAAACUGAAAUUUCACAAACCCCCAAAUUUGUGCAAAAAUUCUGAACAAAAAUAAAAUAUGCAAUUAAAAAUAAUUGAAGUAAAAGACUGGGUCCAGUUAGCUCUAUAUGGUAAUUAGGAAGCUAGAUUUGACCUUUAUGAUGGUGCUGGUACUGCCCCACCAUAACACCAUGCACUCCCAUGACCAUUAUUCAUGAGCUCACCUUUUUGUUCAGAGGGAAGGAUGAGUGCGUUUGGGACGCAGUCUCCUCGUCUAGGCCACGUUGUCCUGACGCUCGGCAGCGAUCGCAUGGAUUCCGUUUCUGAUCUCCAUUUCUCCCCACUUCUCAGCCGUCUGGGAUCACGAGCCUUUUAGAAGCAGGAAGCAGCAUCUUGGAUUUCUUCUAACCUGCCUAGAAUCCAGUGAAAGGAAAGGGUGUGGGGAAGGUAUGGAGCAGUGCUCAAUUUGUAAAGAAAGAGGCGCGGGGCUCAAGCAGUUUUUUUACUUUCAUAACUGAUGCAGCAGGGCCAGAGGUGCCGGAGCUAGGAACUGCUAAGGAGCCCCGGCACAAAUUAAGCACGGGCAUGGAGACACAGUAGGGCAUGGCCUACAUGGCUGCAGCUCCACUGGUGACCGCACAAGUAUAAACAAUGCUCAAGAGGCUGUUGGAUUUUCUAGCAGUCUCAUCUGAACUUGCCCUGAAUAGGGUUAGACAACCCAGGGUUAAAAUGUCAGCGGUUGGUGCAUACUAGUGCAAUCCCUGAUUGUGUUGCGGUGCUAGUGCAACCGUGGGAGAUCUGAAUAAAAAUGUCAGUGUAGGUACAGCCUAGGACUUGUGGUCUACCCAAGGCAAACCAAAUCAAGAGUAUCCUUCCCAGCUCACUGCAAAAAUCUCACGUGCGGGGGUUACUUGCAAUUGGUCAGUUAAAUCACAUGGUACUGAUUCAGUUUCCUGAUUGUGUAAGUGCACAAGCAAGCACUUCCCGGUGCCGGUAUUCGUAUGUGCAAAUUUAAAAUUUUAUUCCCGUGACGGAUCAUGCUAGUAAUGUUUGGUCGCUCAAAUGCUCCUGGAAAAAUUCACCCAGCUCUACCAACAAUGGGACAAAUCUCGAAGUCCUUACUUGGGUUUGUACUUAGCCAACUUCCCCUUAAAGGCAAUGAAGGUUUUGCCUCAAUAAAGACUUCAGGGUUUUGCCCAUUAUUUGGCAAGAGUAACAGAAGCAUCCUGCAGAAUGGGUUGGAUGGUGGGACAAAAAAUCAGAGACGGGACAUUGGAGUAGGUGGACAAUUGGCCAUAGGGUGACCAGAUAGCAAAUGUGAAAAAUCAGGACAAGGGGUGUGUGUGUGUGUGUGGGGGGGGUAAUAGGCGCCUAUAUAAGACAAAGCCCCAAAUUUUGGGACUGUCCCUAUAAAAUUGGGACAUCUGGUCACCCUCAUUGGCCAUUAUGUCAAUUCCUGCAUUGGCUUAACUGGCACGGAUUGAUUCUUGAACUUCCUCUAAAAACACGUGGGGCGGUGUCAUAGCUGAGACUGAUGGAACCCCCUUUUACUGUAGGCCUGCCCCAAACUGCAAGCAAGCAUGUCUUGUUUCAGCCUGUGGUGAGACGCUUCCACCCACUCCUCCUUGGAAAUAGUUUCCGAUAUUUGCACUAAGAGUUGAAUUUUGACACAUGAUCUCCAUCUGUAAAUGUCUUCAACUGUGCGUUGUGAUUGUACGUACCGUUUAGACCUUGGGAGUAUAGAUAGUGUAUAUAUAAUUAGAUAUAAAUAUAUUUAUAUAAACCUGUCAUAGAUGCAUGGGCAAGUUUCCAUUUCUGUGUUUCAGGAACGUUUUUCUGUGUGAGUAACCGAGGGCAGGAAUACGUUGUCUGAGUUGCUAAAGGUCACAUUUUGGUAAGGGGCUUUGUUGAUAUUUUCAAGUAAGUCAGCUCUGCCCUUUUCAAAUAAAUGUUAAUGUUGCUCUGUGA